GCCAACCCUCUUGCUGCUCAGUGUGGAUGAGGGCCGAUUUCAUGUUGUGCUUAAAUUGUUUUGAAAUGUAAACAAGUCUUGCUUCCCACAGCCCUGUGAGUCUCCUAAGGGGAUAGGUGUUACAGCUGGCUGGGAACUUAAGUGGGCUUGAGAGUGGCCAAGGCAGAGAGAACACUGGGUUCAAACAACACCCAGUGACCUCCUCUAAUGCUGAGCAAGCUCUGGCCUCCUGGGGGGCAGUAAUGAGGUGUCACAGACUUCCUCAGAACAGCAGUCACCUUACAAAGCAUCCUCUGAGCUCUGAAGGGAUACAAAUGUGGAGGCAAGUCCUAGAGGACCCUAAAAGCUGAGGCCAAGUUAUAGGAGACACCCCUGGACUGAAGAGGCUGCAGGAGAUUUAUCACCGGUGCCUCAGCAUGGUCAGAAACAGAAACCUGGCUUCAUUGAAUCAACCUGAACUUUCAACAGGACACUCCUUUUCCAGUCUUUUGACUUUUGGCAAAAUUUCCACGAAGGUCAGUCAGCCUCAGCUAUGCCAAGGCAAACAAAGGGAGCAGAACAGCAGGUGUGUGUUGGGGAUGGGGGAAGAUGGCAUCCAGAAAGGGGUGGGGAGGUUUGGGGAUGCAAAUCCAAGCUGAGAGGCAUGGCUGCCGAGGGGCUGUGUGGGUUCAGAAGGAGCAGCAGCUUGUCUGUGCCCGUCCAGGGCCACCCACCCCUCCUUUUCUGCCCCAGCCCAGAGGACUUGAAAUCUUAUUCCCCACAAUGCUAAUGCCACCCAUUAAAGGAAACCAACUACUUGGCAGUAGUUUGCUG
Molecule: long non-coding RNA, 813 nt
Filed under: Rattus norvegicus (Norway rat)
Lineage: Eukaryota; Metazoa; Chordata; Mammalia; Rodentia; Muridae
Description: long non-coding RNA NONRATT026820
Source: RNAcentral